Molecule: long non-coding RNA, 868 nt
Filed under: Gossypium raimondii (Peruvian cotton)
Lineage: Eukaryota; Viridiplantae; Streptophyta; Magnoliopsida; Malvales; Malvaceae
Description: long non-coding RNA (GRAI_LNC007135)
Source: RNAcentral
CUGGGUAUUUGAACAACUCAAUCCUUGUCAAAGUCGUUUAUUCUGCUGCGAUCUAUGGGCCAUAUGGGGAGAUCGAAACAGAAGAAUACACGAAGGAAAAGUUAGCAACGGCAAAGAAACUGCAAAUUUCAUCAACAAUUACAUUACUGAGUUAACUCACUUUGAAAGAAGGAAAUCGAAAAAAAUCACAGGAAAGCAAAGAUGGCAGCAUCCACAUCGUGAGUUUAUAACAAUAAAUUUUGAUGGAGCAUAUCAUGAAAGUCAGUAUUGCUCAGCCAUAGGUAUUGUGGCCAGUGAUGCCGAAGGAAGUGUUUUGUUAUCCUAUUCAGAGUUACAGAAAGACAUUACCUCUGCAUUUGCCGCUGAAGCAAUAGCUUGUUGGAGAGCAGUCUAAAUCAGAGUCGAUCGGGGAUGGCAAUCAAUCAUUUUUUAGGGAGAUUCCCUCGCAAUAAUUAAAAAAUGCAAUACCACAGGUCAAGAUCGAUCAAUGAUAGGGGUUUAUAUUCAUGAUAUCCAACAGGAAAUCAGUAAGUUUAAUAAAGUCAGAUUUCAGCACACACCAAGAUCUGCAAAUAAUCUCGCACACAUUCUUGCAACGAAAACCCUAAAGAGGAAAGAGGAGAUUUACCUUGAAAUGGAGGUCCCUGAGUAUGCAAAGAAGCAGAGAAGAUAUGACUGGUUGCGUGAACCAGACUAGAAAAUGACAGAAGAUGAGGGAAGAAAGGAAGAAAUGCUUCAAAACUAAAGAAAGUGAAACGGUUCAAAAGAAGCUUUGCCAGAGAAAUCGUCGAAAUGGAAAUGAAAUGAUGGGAAGACGAAAUGACAGAUUUCAGCAAAUUUUGAUUGGGCAUUUAGUCGGUGCUUUUAU